RNAcentral lists this ribosomal RNA (428 nucleotides) under uncultured bacterium. Its description in RNAcentral is "bacterial SSU rRNA". It matches the Rfam family "Bacterial small subunit ribosomal RNA", at positions 355 to 775 of the family's 1533-position model. The record is from RNAcentral.
UGGGGAAUAUUGGACAAUGGGCGCAAGCCUGAUCCAGCAACGCCGCGUGGAGGAUGAAGGUCUUCGGAUCGUAAACUCCUGUCAGGCGGGACGAAGGUCUCGGGGCAAAUAGUCUUGAGGCUUGACGGUACUGCCAGAGGAAGCCCCGGCUAACUCCGUGCCAGCAGCCGCGGUAAUACGGAGGGGGCGAGCGUUAUUCGGAAUUAUUGGGCGUAAAGGGCGCGUAGGCGGCUUGAUAAGUCAAAGGUGAAAUCCCUCGGCUCAACUGAGGAACUGCCUUUGAAACUGUCUGGCUCGAGUCCGGGAGGGGGUGGCGGAAUUCCCAGUGUAGCGGUGAAAUGCGUAGAUAUUGGGAGGAACACCAGUGGCGAAGGCGGCCACCUGGACCGGAUCUGACGCUGAUGCGCGAAAGCGUGGGUAGCAAACAG